Molecule: ribosomal RNA, 559 nt
Filed under: Alternaria alternata f. sp. lycopersici
Lineage: Eukaryota; Fungi; Ascomycota; Dothideomycetes; Pleosporales; Pleosporaceae
Description: eukaryotic LSU rRNA
Rfam family: 5.8S ribosomal RNA (bases 196-349)
Source: RNAcentral
UCCGUAGGGGAACCUGCGGAGGGAUCAUUACACAAAUAUGAAGGCGGGCUGGAACCUCUCGGGGUUACAGCCUUGCUGAAUUAUUCACCCUUGUCUUUUGCGUACUUCUUGUUUCCUUGGUGGGUUCGCCCACCACUAGGACAAACAUAAACCUUUUGUAAUUGCAAUCAGCGUCAGUAACAAAUUAAUAAUUACAACUUUCAACAACGGAUCUCUUGGUUCUGGCAUCGAUGAAGAACGCAGCGAAAUGGGAUAAGUAGUGUGAAUUGCAGAAUUCAGUGAAUCAUCGAAUCUUUGAACGCACAUUGCGCCCUUUGGUAUUCCAAAGGGCAUGCCUGUUCGAGCGUCAUUUGUACCCUCAAGCUUUGCUUGGUGUUGGGCGUCUUGUCGUCUAGCUUUGCUGGAGACUCGCCUUAAAGUAAUUGGCAGCCGGCCUACUGGUUUCGGAGCGCAGCACAAGUCGCACUCUCUAUCAGCAAAGGUCUAGCAUCCAUUAAGCCUUUUUUUCAACUUUUGACCUCGGAUCAGGUAGGGAUACCCGCUGAACUUAUGCAUAUCA